This 483-nucleotide ribosomal RNA is filed under the name uncultured bacterium. RNAcentral describes it as "bacterial SSU rRNA". It matches the Rfam family "Bacterial small subunit ribosomal RNA", at positions 30 to 507 of the family's 1533-position model. The record is from RNAcentral.
AUUGAACGCUGGCGGCAUGCCUUACACAUGCAAGUCGAACGGCAGCACGGGAGCAAUCCUGGUGGCGAGUGGCAACGGGUGAGUAAUAUAUCGGAACGUGCCCAGUCGUGGGGGAUAACGUAGCGAAAGCUACGCUAAUACCGCAUACGAUCUACGGAUGAAAGCGGGGGAUCGCAAGACCUCGCGCGAUUGGAGCGGCCGAUAUCAGAUUAGGUAGUUGGUGAGGUAAAGGCUCACCAAGCCGACGAUCUGUAGCUGGUCUGAGAGGACGACCAGCCACACUGGGACUGAGACACGGCCCAGACUCCUACGGGAGGCAGCAGUGGGGAAUUUUGGACAAUGGGCGCAAGCCUGAUCCAGCAAUGCCGCGUGCAGGAUGAAGGCCUUCGGGUUGUAAACUGCUUUUGUACGGAACGAAACGGUGAGCUCUAAUACAGUUUGCUAAUGACGGUACCGUAAGAAUAAGCACCGGCUAACUACGUG